CCUACGGGAGGCAGCAGUGGGGAAUUUUGGACAAUGGGCGCAAGCCUGAUCCAGCAAUGCCGCGUGAGUGAAGAAGGCCUUCGGGUUGUAAAGCUCUUUUGUCAGGGAAGAAACGGUGGGGGCUAAUAUCCCUCGCUAAUGACGGUACCUGAAGAAUAAGCACCGGCUAACUACGUGCCAGCAGCCGCGGUAAUACGUAGGGUGCAAGCGUUAAUCGGAAUUACUGGGCGUAAAGCGUGCGCAGGCGGUUUUGUAAGUCUGUCGUGAAAGCCCCGGGCUCAACCUGGGAAUUGCGAUGGAGACUGCAAGGCUUGAAUCUGGCAGAGGGGGGUAGAAUUCCACGUGUAGCAGUGAAAUGCGUAGAGAUGUGGAGGAACACCGAUGGCGAAGGCAGCCCCCUGGGUCAAGAUUGACGCUCAUGCACGAAAGCGUGGGGAGCAAACAGGAUUAGAUACCCUGGUAGUCCACGCCCUAAAACGAUGUCUACUAGUUGUCGGGUUUUAAUUAACUUGGUAACGCAGCUAACGCGUGAAGUAGACCGCCGUGGGGAGUACGGUCGCAAGAUUAAAACNCAAAAGGAAUUGACGGCUGAGACGUAGCCGACGGACGACGACGAGGGAGGAGGAG
This 627-nucleotide ribosomal RNA is filed under the name uncultured bacterium. RNAcentral describes it as "bacterial SSU rRNA". It matches the Rfam family "Bacterial small subunit ribosomal RNA", at positions 338 to 956 of the family's 1533-position model. The record is from RNAcentral.